This 382-nucleotide ribosomal RNA is filed under the name uncultured bacterium. RNAcentral describes it as "bacterial SSU rRNA". It matches the Rfam family "Bacterial small subunit ribosomal RNA", at positions 524 to 906 of the family's 1533-position model. The record is from RNAcentral.
UACGAAGGGGGCUAGCGUUGUUCGGAAUUACUGGGCGUAAAGCGCGCGCAGGCGGUUUUUCAAGUCAGUGGUGAAAGCCCGGAGCUCAACUCCGGAAUUGCCAUUGAAACUGUAAAACUUGAGGAUGAGAGAGGUGAGUGGAAUUCCCAGUGUAGAGGUGAAAUUCGUAGAUAUUGGGAAGAACACCGGUGGCGAAGGCGGCUCACUGGCUCAUUUCUGACGCUCAGGCGCGACAGCGUGGGGAUCAAACAGGAUUAGAUACCCUGGUAGUCCACGCCGUAAACGAUGAAUGCUAGCCGUUGGGCAGCUUGCUGUUCAGUGGCGCAGCUAACGCAUUAAGCAUUCCGCCUGGGGAGUACGGCCGCAAGGUUGAAACUCAAAG